GUUCUCGCUUCGGCAGCACAUAUUCUAAAAUUGGAACGAUUAGCGUGGCCCCGCGCAAGGAUGACAUACAAAUCCGUCAAGCGUUCCAUGUUUUU
This 95-nucleotide small nuclear RNA is filed under the name Tupaia belangeri chinensis (Chinese tree shrew). The record is from RNAcentral. Lineage: Eukaryota; Metazoa; Chordata; Mammalia; Scandentia; Tupaiidae.